RNAcentral lists this ribosomal RNA (253 nucleotides) under uncultured bacterium. RNAcentral describes it as "partial 16S ribosomal RNA". It matches the Rfam family "Bacterial small subunit ribosomal RNA", at positions 524 to 776 of the family's 1533-position model. The record is from RNAcentral.
UACGAAGGGGGCUAGCGUUGUUCGGAAUUACUGGGCGUAAAGCGCACGUAGGCGGAUUGUAAGUCAGGGGUGAAAUCCCGGGGCUCAACCUCGGAACUGCCUUUGAUACUGCAAGUCUCGAGUCCGAUAGAGGUGAGUGGAAUUCCUAGUGUAGAGGUGAAAUUCGUAGAUAUUAGGAAGAACACCAGUGGCGAAGGCGGACUCACUGGAUCGGUACUGACGCUGAGGUGCGAAAGCGUGGGGAGCAAACAGG